Molecule: ribosomal RNA, 251 nt
Filed under: uncultured Eubacteriales bacterium
Lineage: Bacteria; Bacillati; Bacillota; Clostridia; Eubacteriales
Description: uncultured Clostridiales bacterium partial 16S ribosomal RNA
Rfam family: Bacterial small subunit ribosomal RNA
Source: RNAcentral
GAAGUUAGUGGCGGACGGGUGCGUAACGCGUGGGUAAUCUGCCUUUGUCAAAGGAAUAACUAUUCGAAAGAAUAGCUAAAACCGUAUAACAUAUUAAUAGGGCAUCCUAAUAAUAUCAAAACGAUAGUGGACAAAGAUGAGCCCGCGUCUGAUUAGCUAGUUGGUGAGAUAAAAGCCCACCAAGGCAACGAUCAGUAGCCGACCUGAGAGGGUGAACGGCCACAUUGGAACUGAGACACGGUCCAAACUCC